RNAcentral lists this ribosomal RNA (486 nucleotides) under uncultured bacterium. RNAcentral's name for it is "bacterial SSU rRNA". It matches the Rfam family "Bacterial small subunit ribosomal RNA", at positions 8 to 526 of the family's 1533-position model. The record is from RNAcentral.
AGAGUUUGAUCAUGGCUCAGAACGAACGUUGGCGGCGUGGAUUAGGCAUGCAAGUCGAGGGAAUCCCCGCAAGGGGGGAACCGGCGUAAGGGGCAGUAAUGCGUGGGUAACCUACCCCGGGGUUCGGCAUAGCCUCUCGAGAGAGAGGGUAAUUCCGGAUGACGUCGUGAGACCAAAGAUUUAUCGCCCUGGGAGGGGCCCACGUGGUAUUAGCUAGUUGGUGGGGUAACGGCCCACCAAGGCGAAGAUGCCUAGCGGGUGUGAGAGCACGACCCGCGCCACUGGCACUGAGACACUGGCCAGACACCUACGGGUGGCUGCAGUCGAGGAUCUUCGGCAAUGGGCGCAAGCCUGACCGAGCGACGCCGCGUGUGCGACGAAGGCCUUCGGGUUGUAAAGCACUGUCGAGGGGGAGAAAAGCCCGAAAGGGUUUGAUCUAUCCUCAGUAAGCUCGGGCUAAGUUCGUGCCAGCAGCCGCGGUAAUAC